GGGUUUGGACAAUCAGCAUAUCACAGUCCUGUGAGCUGUUGUAUAAGCAUUCGCCUACUUUUGUUGUCUUUUUCCUUGAAGGAAUUGCCUUUGGAAAGGGAAGUGCAAUCCCAAUUUAUUGCUUUGUGGGUAUUGCCUUUGGAAAGGGUUUGUCUUUUGUGUUUGUGCUUUUGUGUUGGUGUUUCUGAAUUCGGUACGAUAUUGUUCCUUUGUAGUAUUGAACCUGAGGGAUCACCAGACCUGUUGUAGUCUUCUAAGAAGAAUCUCAUCAAGAGGGAGUGUUGGAAUCGAUGAGAUUCCAUUUUAAAAGGGAGUGUUAUGGAAAGUCAAUAUGGAU
RNAcentral lists this unclassified non-coding RNA (337 nucleotides) under Hevea brasiliensis (rubber tree). Lineage: Eukaryota; Viridiplantae; Streptophyta; Magnoliopsida; Malpighiales; Euphorbiaceae. The record is from RNAcentral.